CACCGGCGGCUCGAGUGGUGGCCACUUUUAUUGGGUCUAAAGCGUCCGUAGCCGGCUUGGCAAGUCCCCUGGGAAAUCUGGCGGCUUAACCGUCAGGCGUCCAGAGGAUACUGCCAGGCUUGGGACCGGGAGAGGUGAGAGGUACCUCAGGGGUAGGGGUGAAAUCUUGUGAUCCCUGAGGGACCACCAGUGGCGAAGGCGUCUCACUAGAACGGGUCCGACGGUCAGGGACGAAAGCUGGGGGCACGAACGGG
This 254-nucleotide ribosomal RNA is filed under the name uncultured microorganism. RNAcentral describes it as "partial 16S ribosomal RNA". It matches the Rfam family "Archaeal small subunit ribosomal RNA", at positions 474 to 727 of the family's 1478-position model. The record is from RNAcentral.